GUCGUUGUAGUAUAGCGGUAAGUAUCCCCGCCUCUCAAGCGGGUGACCCGAGUUCGAUGGAUGGCAACGGCG
This 72-nucleotide transfer RNA is filed under the name Jatropha curcas. It matches the Rfam family "tRNA". From Rfam's summary of the family: Transfer RNA (tRNA) molecules are approximately 80 nucleotides in length. Their secondary structure includes four short double-helical elements and three loops (D, anti-codon, and T loops). The record is from Rfam by way of RNAcentral. Lineage: Eukaryota; Viridiplantae; Streptophyta; Magnoliopsida; Malpighiales; Euphorbiaceae.